UGGGAAAUAGCUCAGUUGUAGAGCACAUGCUUAGCAUACAUUGCAGUCCUGGGUUCAAUGCCCAGUUCCUCCA
Molecule: transfer RNA, 73 nt
Filed under: Camelus dromedarius (Arabian camel)
Lineage: Eukaryota; Metazoa; Chordata; Mammalia; Artiodactyla; Camelidae
Also listed under: 1 other name
Rfam family: tRNA
About the family: Transfer RNA (tRNA) molecules are approximately 80 nucleotides in length. Their secondary structure includes four short double-helical elements and three loops (D, anti-codon, and T loops). Further hydrogen bonds mediate the characteristic L-shaped molecular structure. tRNAs have two regions of fundamental functional importance: the anti-codon, which is responsible for specific mRNA codon recognition, and the 3' end, to which the tRNAs corresponding amino acid is attached (by aminoacyl-tRNA synthetases). tRNAs cope with the degeneracy of the genetic code in two manners: having more than one tRNA (with a specific anti-codon) for a particular amino acid; and 'wobble' base-pairing, i.e. permitting non-standard base-pairing at the 3rd anti-codon position.
Source: Rfam by way of RNAcentral